This 616-nucleotide ribosomal RNA is filed under the name fungal sp. 2 GM 11-04. Its description in RNAcentral is "eukaryotic LSU rRNA". The stretch from base 254 to 407 matches the Rfam family "5.8S ribosomal RNA". Lineage: Eukaryota; Fungi. The record is from RNAcentral.
UCUUGGUCAUUUAGAGGAAGUAAAAGUCGUAACAAGGUCUCCGUUGGUGAACCAGCGGAGGGAUCAUUACCGAGUUUACAACUCCCAAACCCAAUGUGAACGUUACCAAACUGUUGCCUCGGCGGGGUCACGCCCCGGGUGCGUCGCAGCCCCGGAACCAGGCGCCCGCCGGAGGAACCAACCAAACUCUUUCUGUAGUCCCCUCGCGGACGUUAUUUCUUACAGCUCUGAGCAAAAAUUCAAAAUGAAUCAAAACUUUCAACAACGGAUCUCUUGGUUCUGGCAUCGAUGAAGAACGCAGCGAAAUGCGAUAAGUAAUGUGAAUUGCAGAAUUCAGUGAAUCAUCGAAUCUUUGAACGCACAUUGCGCCCCUUGGUAUUCCGGGGGGCAUGCCUGUUCGAGCGUCAUUUCAACCCUCACGCGUAGCGUGGUCUUGGGCACUGCCGGCAACGGCUUGCCUUAAAAUCAGUGGCGGUGCCAUCGAGCUCUACGCGUAGUAAUAAACCCCUCGCGUGUGAGUCUCGGCGGUCGCUUGCCAGCAACCCCCAAUUUUUUAUGGUUGACCUCGAAUCAGGUAGGGAUACCCGCUGAACUUAAGCAUAUCAAUAAGCGGAGG